UACGUCUUGGUAAUGCGGCCCAAAGGCCAC
Molecule: small RNA, 30 nt
Filed under: Bombyx mori (domestic silkworm)
Lineage: Eukaryota; Metazoa; Arthropoda; Insecta; Lepidoptera; Bombycidae
Description: ovarian small RNA-21177
Source: RNAcentral